RNAcentral lists this transfer RNA (65 nucleotides) under Eusphalerum torquatum. Its description in RNAcentral is "tRNA-Ala". Lineage: Eukaryota; Metazoa; Arthropoda; Insecta; Coleoptera; Staphylinidae. The record is from RNAcentral.
AGGAUAAUAGUUAAUAUUAACAUUUAAUUUGCAUUUAAAAAAUACUAUAAAUUUAGUUUAUCUUA